RNAcentral lists this non-coding RNA (136 nucleotides) under human gut metagenome. Its description in RNAcentral is "glmS glucosamine-6-phosphate activated ribozyme". It matches the Rfam family "glmS glucosamine-6-phosphate activated ribozyme aptamer", at positions 11 to 157 of the family's 167-position model. From Rfam's summary of the family: This entry contains a glucosamine-6-phosphate activated ribozyme that is found in the mRNA for GlmS. The record is from RNAcentral.
UAGCGCCAGACCGCGCAGCAAGCGCGGUUGACGAGGACCGGGGAGUAUCGAACGAGUCAGCGGAUGCCCCGGCGGCAGUACUGCUGCCGUAUUUUCCCACAAAGCCGGCGGGCGACCGCCGGACAAAAAGGAAAAA